This 497-nucleotide ribosomal RNA is filed under the name uncultured bacterium. RNAcentral describes it as "partial 16S ribosomal RNA". It matches the Rfam family "Bacterial small subunit ribosomal RNA", at positions 28 to 507 of the family's 1533-position model. The record is from RNAcentral.
GACGAACGCUGGCGGCGUGCCUAAUACAUGCAAGUUGAGCGAUGAAGAUUGGUGCUUGCACCAAUUUGAAGAGCAGCGAACGGGUGAGUAACGCGUGGGGAAUCUGCCUUUGAGCGGGGGACAACAUUUGGAAACGAAUGCUAAUACCGCAUAACAACUUUAAACAUAAGUUUUAAGUUUGAAAGAUGCAAUUGCAUCACUCAAAGAUGAUCCCGCGUUGUAUUAGCUAGUUGGUGAGGUAAAGGCUCACCAAGGCGAUGAUACAUAGCCGACCUGAGAGGGUGAUCGGCCACAUUGGGACUGAGACACGGCCCAAACUCCUACGGGAGGCAGCAGUAGGGGAUCUUCGGCAAUGGACGAAAGUCUGACCGAGCAACGCCGCGUGAGUGAAGAAGGUUUUCGGAUCGUAAAACUCUGUUGGUAGAGAAGAACGUGGGUGAGAGUGGAAAGCACAUGAAGUGACGGUAACUACCCAGAAAGGGACGGCUAACUACGUG